This 2225-nucleotide long non-coding RNA is filed under the name Medicago truncatula (barrel medic). RNAcentral's name for it is "long non-coding RNA (MTRU_LNC005323)". The record is from RNAcentral. Lineage: Eukaryota; Viridiplantae; Streptophyta; Magnoliopsida; Fabales; Fabaceae.
AGUUUUCUAAACCUGAAAUUGGAGGGAAAAGAGAACUUCCUUCCAAAGUCGUCUUUGCUUGACCGCCAGCAAGAAUCCUCCUCUUGAUUUAGCAUACAUGCAUGAUCAAGGGAUACAAAAAAUGGUUAAAAAAUAGUAGGAUUAAACCAUCACAUGAAUGAUUUAUGCAAAGAUCAUCAACAAAGAUGAUUACCACCCACUGCAUCAGACUCUAAGAUUGUGAAGAUUUUACGCAUGUGAGCCACCCGAGAUCUGGGCUUUAGCCCAAAUCAGCUUGUACAACUGAAAAUUUAACUUAGCUAUAUAUAGAUCUCAAGUACAGCUAUCAGCUUGCACAGCCGAAAAUUUACCUUCGCUGCAUAUAGAUCUCAAGUUAACAACCAAAGUAUUUAACUCAAAUUAAAUUUACUUUUUCAAAAAGCUUCCACAUGUCAUAUUUUAUCACAAAAAAUUACAUAAAAAAAGCUUCAACACAUUUCCUAUUGAUAAAUCACAGUUAUUUUAUCCCCAUGUAUAACUUCUCUCAUGAUGUUAAGGGUAAGGGCCAAGGGGCAUUACAGUCACUACUUAUUCUCAUGGAAUCUAGAGGCACACUUCUCCAAAUAUAUUAGCACGUUUGAAAUGACAAACCAGCACUUCACGACUUCGGUCGCUGCAGUGCCAAGGUGUUUGCGUAAUUAGUAAGGUAUCUAUGUAAUAAGAAUGUUCUACUUAAAUACCUCAUAUUGGGUUCUAACAUGCAGGUUCUUUUCAUUGUCUCAACUAGAAAAAAAAACACAAUAAACUUUCCACCUUUGAUGUCCCACUAUUCUGCUAGUUUAGAAACUCAGGGGAAGGACAGGGUCACUAGGUCAGAAAAGCGAUAACUCAAAAUUCUCCUCAAGAAGGAUUUGAACCUACGACCAAUCGGUUAACAGCCGACCACUCUACCCCUGAGCUACUAAGGAACAAUGGACUUAAGUUAAGGAAGCCGACUCUCGUUCCUUGGACACCAACCUAUGAUCGAACAAAAAAGGGUUUGUGAUUCUUUUCGACAUACACCAGGAGAAAAGGUAACGAUAGCAAGCCACUCCGUGCAGCGGUCAACCAUCCACUCUCGAGAUUCAUAUUGAUCAAUCGAUCUCUGCGUCCGCAUUUGCCUAUAUUUGUAUAAAGCAGAGGAUUGAAGGUUCUUGUGAAAAUGUUUAGCCUAACAACAUGUACCAAUAAAACCAGAAGGGUUUGUGAAAAUUCCAUUUACCUUGGCUAACGAAUAAAUUGUCUUUCAAAACAUCGAUGCCAAAAGUCCUUUCAAAACCAGAAGGGUUUGUGAAAAUUCCAUUAUCUGGGCUAACGAAAAUAUCCAUGAUUCCUAUUCCUUUCGGGUCAUCGAGACAUCCUAUGUUCCAUCUCAUUGUGGCAGUUUACAAUUAAGAAAUUGCAUUCAGGGUCAUAAGAGCACAACGGAUCCAUCCUUUAUAUUAAGAAUACAAAUUCAUACCAAUAACACAUUUAGGGCAAUAAGCAACUUUUACACUAUGAAUGAAUUGUUCAUCGUGUUUCCUUUAGGGUAUCGAGGCAUCCAAACACUUGCACCAUUUUUUAAACAAAUAAUAUUCAUUAAUUCCUUUCGGUCAUCGAGUAAUGGAUUACAUUAUGAAUAUAUUGGCCACGGUAUUCCUUUUAGAUCCAUCUAACCAUCUAACAAAAAAUUUCUACAGAUUCAUUCCUUUAGGGUUGUCAAGGCACCCUAAUGGUUAGUAGCCUAACAACAUGUACCAGUUAUUAAAAAACCAGAAAGGUUUGUGAAAAUUCCAUUACCUAGUCCAACGAAUAAAUUAUCUUUCAAGACAUCGGUGCCAAAAGGGUAUCCAUACAAAAGCAGAGUUUGCUGAAUCAUUCUGGUACUACCAAUUCCACUAUUAAAAAAUUCAAGAAUUAAAACCUGAAAAAGUGUAGAGAUGUUACCGUUGAAGGAGAAACUGCAAAUUUUUUAUAUUUCGUUUUUUAAAGAAGAUGAAAGGAGCGUGUUUCACCAUCUUUAAAACACAUCAGAACCUUCAAAGACAAAAAUAGAGAAGUAUUGAAGCAACCCAUAUAGCAGUGGCAAAAAGGUCAUAAAAGCACAAUGAGUACAAACAUUUAUAUUACGAAAAAGCACUACAGUAAAUUAAUGGAGCAUAUAAAAUUCAUAUAUCUUUUUGGAUCAUUAAGGUUUCCCACAUAGCAUGAAAUGACAAAUCACG